RNAcentral lists this ribosomal RNA (253 nucleotides) under uncultured bacterium. Its description in RNAcentral is "partial 16S ribosomal RNA". It matches the Rfam family "Bacterial small subunit ribosomal RNA", at positions 524 to 776 of the family's 1533-position model. The record is from RNAcentral.
UACAGAGGUGGCAAGCGUUGUUCGGAAUUACUGGGCGUAAAGGGCGCGUAGGCGGCUUGGUCAGUCCCGUGUGAAAUCCCUCGGCUCAACUGAGGAACUGCACGGGAAACUGCCUGGCUUGAGUUCGGGAGAGGGAAGCGGAAUUCCGGGUGUAGCGGUGAAAUGCGUAGAUAUUCGCAAGAACACCAGUGGCGAAGGCGGCUCACUGGCCCGGUACUGACGCUGAGGUGCGAAAGCGUGGGGAGCAAACAGG